GAAAGAACAAGAAAAUGGAGAACAUUUUCUUUUUUUUUUGUUGCAAGAAUUAAUUUUAUUAUUAUCUUCAAAACAAGAGAAAAAAAUAAAAUAAAAAAAUGUCCCUCCGGUUCAGUUCAUUCAGCUGGUAGUUUAAAUUAAAUAGAGGUCAUUGCAAAAACUAAAAAUAAAAUUUAAAUUAAAAUAAAAAGGAACAAAUUUGAUGAAUCUUCACAGUGCACGGAACCUUUUAAACCCAAGACAUGGACCUUUAACACCCUCCAGUGUCUCUACCCCCGUCCGCGCUCAACGAACAACAAUAUUCACAUAUUGUCAGAAUUGUGUAAAUAUAAUUCAGGUAUCAUAAGACACAACUACCACUAAGGGGCUGAACAAUUCUGGUAACUUUACAACAACAACAAAAAUAAAAAAAAAAAUAAAAAAUCACAGAUUCCUGAAAUCAAGAAGGAAAUCUGUGAAUCCUACAACCUGGGAUUUCUGGGAAAUCUGGUGAAUUUUAGGGGGGGGGGGGGGGAAGUAAUUUUGCAAAACAUAGGCCAACAACUACCUCUAGGUCACUCUUGCUCAGUCUGCUUACAGCAGAGUAACAGUCAUUUACAUCUCGAUAGUGCUUUUUUCCCUCCUCCUCCUCCUACACGUUUUCACUCUAGAGAAUACAUAUCUGAUAUGAAAGAUGGUAUAUUGUGUGUGUCCAUAAUAGUUCACUAUUCUUGUAUAUAGUCCACAACAUCGGGAACUGGUUGCUAUUUGGGAUGCAUCCCAGGUCGUAGAAACUCUUCAAAAAUAACCUGGGGUGGGGGACAGGACGGUGGGGGACAGGGACAAAUCAAGGUUUUAGCAAUUACACAUUUUUUUUUUAAACACAAAAAAAAUAAUUAAAAAUCAAAGCAUUAUUCAAGUAAAUUGACUCGUCCAAGCAACAGCCUAUGUUGAGCAGAGUCUAAAAAAAAUUAAUAUUUUAUACAUCAGCCUUAAAUUCAUUAAAUUAAUUCAAAUCCUCAGCAAAAAAAAUAAAAAAUAACAAAACCCCCCAAACAAAGUGUUGAACUAAAGUGAACAAGCUUGCAGAGUCCUCUUAUGGUCUUCACUACGGGGUCCCGUCACAAAUGACACCCACAUUCCCUACAUAGUGCCCUAUUAUUAUAGGGAAUAUGGGCCCUCGUCAAAAGUAGUGCCCUAUAUAGGGAAUAGGAUGGUAUUUGGAAUGCAGAGGCUGUGUGACGCCUCUUUGAGACCUUUACAGUUCACUGACAGGAGGCUCGGAAGGAAACCAAAUAUCUUUCCUCCGAAAUGGCGCCCAAUUCCCUUCUUAGUGCACUAGGUUUGGGCCACGAGCCUUAAAGUCGUGCACUAGUUAGGGAAUAAGGUUUGGGCCACGAGCCUUGGGCUGAAACGUGUGGAAAAAAACGCUUCACGACGAAAUGUCUCAUAAGGCUACGCUAGACAUUUGGUCUUCGCCUCUUCUCUCCUCCUCCUCUUCUCUCUCUCUGUUAUUGUCCUUGUUCUUCUUCUUCUUGUGUUUGUGUUUCAGUCCUGCGAUCUCUCCCUCCUCAGCCUCCAGUCUCUUCUGCUUUCUGUCUUUCUUCUGUUUCUUCUUCUCUUUCUUCUUCUCUUUUUUAUCUUUCUUCUUCUUCUUGUCUUUCUUGUUGCCCAGGCUACCGACAGAGCUGGCGCUGCUGCUACGACUUCUGCUGCUGCCCCCAUGCACCGCUGGCUCUCCCUCCACCGCUCGCUGUCCGCCCACUUUUUUCUCUCCUUCCUCCUCCUCCCCCUCUGAGAUCUCUCCCUCGCUGUAGUCCGGUUCGAAGGCUGCCUCAUCUGUCUCUCUGACCAGGUCAGAAGGAGGUCUAGAAGAAGGGACCGAGGGAGGAGGUCUGGCUUUAGGGUGCUCUGUCUCUCUCUCCUUCUCCCUAUCCACCCCUUUCUCUCUCUCCUUCUCCCUAUCCACCCCUUUCUCUCUCUCCUUCUCCCUAUCCACCCCCUUCUCUCUCUCCUUCUCCCUAUCCACCCCUUUCUCUCUCUCCUUCUCCCUAUCCACCCCUUUCUCUCUCUCCUUCUCCCUAUCCACCCCCUUCUCUCUCUCCUUCUCCCUAUCCACCCCCUUCUCUCUCUCCUUCUCCCUAUCCACCCCUUUCUCUCUCUCCUUCUCCCUAUCCACCCCUUUCUCCUUCUCCCUAGCCACCCCUUUCUCUCUCUCCUUCUCCCUAUCCACCCCCUUCUCUCUCUCCUUCUCCCUAUCCACCCCUUUCUCUCUCUCCUUCUCCAUCUUCUCCCUCAUCUUUUGUAUCUGCCACUCUCUCUCUUUCUUUCUCUCUCUCUCUCUGACAGCUCGGGGCACCCCUGCCCUGUUGUCAGUCCUGGGGGCUGUAGGAGUGAGGCCGGGUGUUGUUGGGGCUUUCCACCACUCGUCUCCUUCUCUAGGGUUCCUAGGCUGGCCUGCUGGCUCUGUCUCCCCGCCGAGAAGCUCUCUGCUCUGGGCUCUUCUCCCUCAGCCUUUCCCCUCCCGGGCUGGUUCUCCAUGGAGCCGUAUAUAUCCUGCGUCGUGUCCCUGCCAGGGCUGCUCUCGCUGGGUCUGGUGGGCUCAGACCCUCCCUGAGAUCUCUGAGUGGAGGAGGAGGAGGAAGAGGAAGGGUCAGAUGGGGGUUGGUCGCUCUUGGAGACGGGCGAGGCACCGCCUAGCUCCCCGGUGGUCUCCCGGUGGUCUCCCGGUGGUCUACGGUCAGUAGAGUCGGUGUUACGGCCAACGGUGGAUGAGAUCUGGUCGUUGUUGUCUUCAUGUUUGUGGUGGAGGUGGUCUCUGUGCUCCCUGGCUCUGGGGUCCGGUGGUCUACGGUCAGAAGUUGCUUUGUGGUCCCUGGAAGAAGAUAAAGGUUUACGAUCCCGUGAGUGAGAGUGUGAGGAGGAAGACGAGCUCUUCUCACUGCUGUGGUCGCUCCCUCUCUCUCCAGUCCUCUCUCCUUCUCUCCUCUCUCGCUCCGGCCGCUGAGACGAGCUCUUCUCACUGCUGUGGUCGCUCCCUCUCUCUCCAGUCCUCUCUCCUUCUCUCCUCUCUCGCUCCGGCCGCUGAGACGAGCUCUUCUCACUGCUGUGGUCGCUUCCUCUCUCUCCAGUCCUCUCUCCUUCUCUCCUCUCUCGCUCCGGCCGCUGAGACGAGCUCUUCUCACUGCUGUGGUCGCUCCCUCUAUCCCCAGUCCUCUCUCCUUCUCUCCUCUCUCGCUCCGGCCGCUGAGACGAGCUCUUCUCACUGCUGUGGUCGCUCCCUCUAUCCCCAGUCCUCUCUCCUUCUCUCCUCUCUCGCUCCGGCCGCUGAGACGAGCUCUUCUCACUGCUGUGGUCGCUCCCUCUCUCUCCAGUCCUCUCUCCUUCUCUCUCUCUCCUCUCCCUCUCCGGACGCUGAGACGAGCUCUUCUCACUGCUGUGGUCGCUCCCUCUAUCCCCAGUCCUCUCUCCUUCUCUCCUCUCUCGCUCCGGCCGCUGAGACGAGCUCUUCUCACUGCUGUGGUCGCUUCCUCUCUCCCCAGUCCUCUCCCCAGUCCUCUCUCCUCUCUCCCUCCUCUCUCGCUCCGGCCGCUGAGACGAGCUCUUCUCACUGCUGUGGUCGCUCCCUCUCUCCCCAGUCCUCUCUCCUUCUCUCUCUCUCCUCUCUCGCUCCGGACGCUGAGAGGAAGAGAGAACCUUUCUCGGUCUGUCCA
Molecule: long non-coding RNA, 3692 nt
Filed under: Salmo salar (Atlantic salmon)
Lineage: Eukaryota; Metazoa; Chordata; Actinopteri; Salmoniformes; Salmonidae
Description: lncRNA (ENSSSAG00000100236.1)
Source: RNAcentral